RNAcentral lists this long non-coding RNA (224 nucleotides) under Elaeis guineensis (African oil palm). RNAcentral's name for it is "long non-coding RNA (EGUI_LNC016563)". The record is from RNAcentral. Lineage: Eukaryota; Viridiplantae; Streptophyta; Magnoliopsida; Arecales; Arecaceae.
GCCAAUACUACGAAUCAUAUGGAGGCUGCUGCUGCAUGGACACAGCGGUAAACCUGGUUUAAAGAAGAAAAAACAAACAAACAAACAAACGGACACCCCCUCCCCCAAAGGCCGUUUCUUGGGACGGAGACGCAGCGCCGCCGCCAGCGGCCGCUGGGUCGGACAGGCUCGCACCCAAACUCAUCUGUAAGACCGGACGCAUGAAAUCUGUGCAUCUACCACCC